AAUCCCCUGCACGGUGCGUGUUGCUCGCGUCAGAUCGGAUCAAACACCUCGAGCAUUAGGGAGCUCUCGCUGCAUGCGGUGUGUGAGCCUCGACGCGCGUUAAGGAUCCUGGUGGGCACACCUAAAGCUUGUAUGGAGCACCCACCUAGUAGUUUCGAACCCUCACCGGUUCGACCGUAGGCGUGAACAACCGCCCGUGCGGGGGAUCU
Molecule: non-coding RNA, 209 nt
Filed under: Myxococcales bacterium
Lineage: Bacteria; Pseudomonadati; Myxococcota; Myxococcia; Myxococcales
Description: 6S RNA
Rfam family: 6S / SsrS RNA
About the family: E. coli 6S RNA was the first non coding RNA to be sequenced, but its function was unknown until recently. It consists of 184 nucleotides that fold into an extended hairpin structure with a large single-stranded internal bulge. The 6S RNA specifically associates with RNA polymerase holoenzyme containing the sigma70 specificity factor.
Source: RNAcentral